This 387-nucleotide non-coding RNA is filed under the name Saprolegnia parasitica CBS 223.65. RNAcentral's name for it is "Eukaryotic large subunit ribosomal RNA". It matches the Rfam family "Eukaryotic large subunit ribosomal RNA", at positions 371 to 664 of the family's 3401-position model. The record is from Rfam by way of RNAcentral. Lineage: Eukaryota; Oomycota; Saprolegniomycetes; Saprolegniales; Saprolegniaceae.
GAACUUUGAAAGAGAGUUAAAGAGUACCUGAAACUGUUGAAAGGGAACCGUAUCGUUUCCAGUGUUGUAUCCUAUGCAUAUUUCAUUCGUGGAGUAAUUUACGGGUGCCCUGUGCAUGGGUGUGACGUCAGGGUCAGUUUGUAUGCUGCGGGAGAUGGUCAGUGAGGAGGUGCGUCACUUCGGUGAAAGUUAUAUCUCGCUGUCUAGUAGCCGUGGUUGAGACUGAGGUGCCUACAACAUGCCUUAAGGUUCUAUGUUGUCUCGUGUUGGUGACUGCUUUGAUAGCUUGCUAUGUCUGUGGUUUAUUAAUGCGAUUGAUGAUGUGGAUAACUUUUGCUGUUCGGGACUCUGGCGAAAUGGAGCGAUACGACCCGUCUUGAAACACGG